UACGGAGGGUGCAAGCGUUAUCCGGAUUCACUGGGUUUAAAGGGUGCGUAGGCGGAUAGGUAAGUCCGUGGUGAAAUCCUGCAGCUUAACUGCAGAACUGCCGUGGAUACUAUCUAUCUUGAAUGUCGUGGAGGUUAGCGGAAUAUGUCAUGUAGCGGUGAAAUGCUUAGAUAUGACAUAGAACACCCAUUGCGAAGGCAGCUAACUACGCGAUAAUUGACGCUGAUGCACGAAAGCGUGGGGAUCGAACAGG
Molecule: ribosomal RNA, 253 nt
Filed under: uncultured bacterium
Lineage: Bacteria
Description: partial 16S ribosomal RNA
Rfam family: Bacterial small subunit ribosomal RNA
Source: RNAcentral